AAGGAUCAUUAGAAUAAAUUGAUACACAUGUUUUUCUGUCAUAAACACAACAAUAUUAGUAACGUCAAUGUUUUUAAAGUUAAAACUUUCAACAACGGAUCUCUUGGUUCUCGCAUCGAUGAAGAACGCAGCGAAAUGCGAUAAGUAGUACGAAUUGCAGAUUUUCGUGAGUCAUUGAAUCUUUGAACGCACAUUGCGCCCUGCGGCAUUCCGCAGGGCAUGCCUGUUUGAGCGUCAUUUCACUCUCAAGCCGCUGGCUUGGUGAUGAGUUUGCUCGGCUUACUUGAAAGACAAGGCUGCAUUUGUAUAGGGACAACCAUUUCAGACGCAGACAGCAAGUUUGACCUCAAAUCAGGUAGGACUACCCGCUGAACUUAA
This 378-nucleotide ribosomal RNA is filed under the name Teunomyces funiuensis. RNAcentral's name for it is "eukaryotic LSU rRNA". The stretch from base 84 to 237 matches the Rfam family "5.8S ribosomal RNA". Lineage: Eukaryota; Fungi; Ascomycota; Pichiomycetes; Serinales; Debaryomycetaceae. The record is from RNAcentral.